GAUACCUACGGGGGGCAGCAGUGGGGAAUAUUGGGCAAUGGGCGAAAGCCUGAUGGAGCAACGCCGCGUGGGUGAAGAAGGUCUUCGGAUCGUAAAACCCUGUUGUUAGAGAAGAAAGUGCGUGAGAGUAACUGUUCACGUUUCGACGGUAUCUAACCAGAAAGCCACGGCUAACUACGUGCCAGCAGCCGCGGUAAUACGUAGGUGGCAAGCGUUAUCCGGAAUUACUGGGUGUAAAGGGUGUGUAGGCGGGGUU
Molecule: ribosomal RNA, 256 nt
Filed under: uncultured bacterium
Lineage: Bacteria
Description: partial 16S ribosomal RNA
Rfam family: Bacterial small subunit ribosomal RNA
Source: RNAcentral